This 404-nucleotide unclassified non-coding RNA is filed under the name soil metagenome. Its description in RNAcentral is "partial contains 5.8S ribosomal RNA, internal transcribed spacer 2, and large subunit ribosomal RNA". The stretch from base 1 to 122 matches the Rfam family "5.8S ribosomal RNA", at positions 35 to 154 of the family's 154-position model. The record is from RNAcentral.
GAUGAAGAACGUAGUAAAAUGCGAUACUUGGUGUGAAUUGCAGAAUCCCGUGAACCAUCGAGUUUUUGAACGCAAGUUGCGCCCGAAGCCUUUUGGCCGAGGGCACGUCUGCCUGGGCGUCACGCAUCGCGUCGCCCCCCACAAUUCUCCGUAAAGGGAACGUGUGUUUUGGGGGCGGAUAUUGGUCUCCCGUGCUCAUGGCGUGGUUGGCCGAAAUAGGAGUCCUUUCGAUGGACGCACGAACUAGUGGUGGUCGUAAAAACCCUCGUCUUUUGUUUCGUGCUGUUGCUCGCAAGGUAAGCUCUUUAAAAACCCCAAUGUGUCGUCUCUUGACGACGCUUCGACCGCGACCCCAGGUCAGGCGGGACUACCCGCUGAGUUUAAGCAUAUCAAUAAGCGGAGGA